This 235-nucleotide ribosomal RNA is filed under the name uncultured bacterium. RNAcentral's name for it is "partial 16S ribosomal RNA". It matches the Rfam family "Bacterial small subunit ribosomal RNA", at positions 89 to 334 of the family's 1533-position model. The record is from RNAcentral.
UACCGAGCGGCGGACGGGUGAGUAACACGUUGGAACCUACCCCAAAGUGGGGAAUAACUGGCCGAAAGGUCGGCUAAUACCCCAUAGUCUUAUCCUCGUGAUAAGUAAAGAUUUUUCGCUUUGGGAGGGGCCUGCGCAGCAUUAGCUAGUUGGUGAGGUAAAAGCUCACCAAGGCGACGAUGCUUAGCUGGAUCGAGAGGUUGACCAGCCACACUGGGACUGAGAUACGGCCCAG